UGGCGGAGUGGUCGAUCGCGGCGGUCUUGAAAACCGUUGUCCCGCAAGGGACCGGGGGUUCGAAUCCCUCCCUCUCCGCCA
Molecule: transfer RNA, 81 nt
Filed under: Prevotellaceae bacterium
Lineage: Bacteria; Pseudomonadati; Bacteroidota; Bacteroidia; Bacteroidales; Prevotellaceae
Description: tRNA-Ser
Rfam family: tRNA
About the family: Transfer RNA (tRNA) molecules are approximately 80 nucleotides in length. Their secondary structure includes four short double-helical elements and three loops (D, anti-codon, and T loops). Further hydrogen bonds mediate the characteristic L-shaped molecular structure. tRNAs have two regions of fundamental functional importance: the anti-codon, which is responsible for specific mRNA codon recognition, and the 3' end, to which the tRNAs corresponding amino acid is attached (by aminoacyl-tRNA synthetases). tRNAs cope with the degeneracy of the genetic code in two manners: having more than one tRNA (with a specific anti-codon) for a particular amino acid; and 'wobble' base-pairing, i.e. permitting non-standard base-pairing at the 3rd anti-codon position.
Source: RNAcentral